RNAcentral lists this small nuclear RNA (79 nucleotides) under Jaculus jaculus (lesser Egyptian jerboa). Lineage: Eukaryota; Metazoa; Chordata; Mammalia; Rodentia; Dipodidae. The record is from RNAcentral.
UUGCUCACUUCAGCAGCACAUAUACUAAAAUUGGAACGAUACAGAGAAGAUUAGCAUGGCCCCUGUGCAAGGAUGACAC